Molecule: long non-coding RNA, 433 nt
Organism: Oncorhynchus masou masou (cherry salmon)
Lineage: Eukaryota; Metazoa; Chordata; Actinopteri; Salmoniformes; Salmonidae
Exons: 2
Source: RefSeq, a predicted model, not a curated record
GUGGGAGGCAGCGGUAACUGGUUGGUUGGUAGUUAGCUAGGACUCCGGUACACAAGGCGGGAGGCAGCGGUAACUGGUUGGUUGGUAGCUAGCUAGGACUCCGUUACACAAGGCGGGAGGCAGCGGUAACUGGUUGGUUGGUAGCUAGCUAGGACUCCGGUACACAAGGCGGGAGGCAGCAGUAACUGGUUGGUUGGUAGCUAGCUAGGACUCCUGUACACAAGGCGGGAGGCAGCGGUAACUGGUUGGUUGGUAGCUAGCUAGGACUCCUGUACACAAGGCGGGAGGCAGCGGUAACUGGUUGGUUGGUAGCUAGCUAGAACUCCGUUACACAAGGCGGGAGGCAGCAGUAACUGGUUGGUUGGUAGCUAGCUAGGACUCUGUUACACAAGGCGGGAGGCAGCAGUAACUGGUUGGUUGCUAGCUAGGACUC